AAGCAGUGAUGCUGGGAACUCAGAGGAGCCUUCAGUGAAGAGGAGCCCUGGGCCUGGCCAUGAACACCGCGAGAAUGCAAAGCAUGUGACGUCUCACUUAGAGCUGAUGCAGAAGGGAAGUGACUCUGAAAUAUAGACCCUCUUGGCCUCUGGGGGAGAUUUAUGUGGCGAGCAUCACGCUCCUCAGAGAAAGACUGCAGGUGACUCUGAGGGGACCAGUGACAUCUGUCUCAGCCUGAAGGACGUGAGGAGGCUGAGGAAACCGUAACAUCAGCCAGAUCUUCACUGGAAGCUUACAACUUUGUUAACAAGAAAGUCAAGAUGCUCCUUCUCCUCCGUCGGCAGAAAUAGAGUACAAUAAGAAGCUCUCUUUGUGGAUCCAGUAUGUAUGAGGAUGUUAUCCUUG
This is a long non-coding RNA of Capra hircus (goat), 406 nucleotides long. RefSeq lists it as uncharacterized. The record is from RefSeq and is a predicted model, not a curated record. The transcript is spliced from 4 exons. Lineage: Eukaryota; Metazoa; Chordata; Mammalia; Artiodactyla; Bovidae.